RNAcentral lists this long non-coding RNA (1457 nucleotides) under Pan troglodytes (chimpanzee). RNAcentral's name for it is "long non-coding RNA NONPTRT013432". Lineage: Eukaryota; Metazoa; Chordata; Mammalia; Primates; Hominidae. The record is from RNAcentral.
AAAUCAUAAAUUUUAGCUAAACACAUUGCCAUCUCCUAUUUAGGGAGAGAGGAGGUUGAAUGGGCAACUAGCUGCCAUAGAUAAUUAAAAUUGUUAUAGCUUGUAACCAGAAAACAAAGAAAUUGGAUACAUUUAAAGGUAUAAGUCUAAAUUUGGAAGGCACUUUGUCCACAAAAAUAAAUACUAUAAAAAUGCUAUUAAAAGUAAAUAUGUAAAAUCACAUGACUAUGGAAGCUAAGAAGCCUCACUCUGCUGUCUGCAAGCUGCUGAAGGCCCAGAAAAGCCAAUGUUGUGGGUCGUCCAAGUCCAAAGACCUGAGAAACAGAGGAGCCAGUGGUGUAAGUCUCAGUCCAAGUCUCAAAGUUCGAGAACCAGGACAACUGAUACCCAAGUACAAGAGAAGAUGGAUAUUCCUGCUCAAAAAGAGAAAGUUAAUUUGUCAUUUCAUUGCCUUUGUGUUUUAUUCAGCCCUCAACAAAUUGGAUGGUGUCCACAUACACUGGUGAAGGUCAUCGUUGAUCAGUCUACCCCUGCAAAUGCUCUGCUUUCCCAGAAACACCCGCAAGAACACACCCAGAAACCAUGCUUUACUAGUUUUCUGUGCAUCUCUUAAUCCAGUCUAGCUGACACAUAACAUUAGCCAUCACACUAGGACUUGACAUAUUUUCAAUAAACGCACAUCGUGUAUAUUAUAUAGAAAUUUCCAACUACACAACUUGUCCUAUGGGAGGCAUCCUCCCAAGGGUCACUUGUACAUGGUCCCCAUGACAUGGACCCAGGCCAAGGAGGAUUUAAUCAGGGGAGAAAGAAUGAAUGAGGAGAGAACUGGUAGAAGUAUGGAAUAAUUUACCUUCUUUUGACCACAGUGGGGAGGUAGAAAUUUGGCUGCACCACAGGCUCUGAAGUCAGAUGCCUGGUUUGAAUUUCAGUGCCAUCACUUAUUGGCUUUGUGAUGUUGAACCGAUUGAUCUAGAGUUUCUGUCCUUCAGUUUCUUCAUCUAUAGAUUGGAAAUAAUUACAAUACUAAUCCUAACUGAUUGAGUUGUUACGCAGAGUUCUCAAACCAGUGUCUGGUAUAAUAUGAGCACUAAAAACACUCCACAUUAGCUCUUUGAAUUAUUAUGAAUUAGAGUUAGAUGUCAGUCAGGAAAACAGAGUCACUAAAAUACUAUGGUAAUAAGAGGCUCGCUAUAGCAAUUACAGCACAAACAAAUGUAGGAAGAGUUGGGGAAGUGAAGGUCUGGAAGAUGGAGAUGGAGAAUCAGAAUAAGUCACUAACCAUAAUGGUCAGAAGGAAUGUUAUCUAGUGCUUGGUUUUGGCAUUGGAGCUGUUUGUUGGUGGGGCCAGGAGUUGGAAUCUAGAAGCUGAGGCCUGCUAGGCACAGCUGCAUUGGUCUGUCACUAUGUUGGCCGACAUGGCCUUCUGAGAGUAAUGCUUUCUGGUCACUUCCAUUCUC